Molecule: ribosomal RNA, 511 nt
Filed under: bacterium enrichment culture clone ALO1_GLFRUDD03HGN0Q
Lineage: Bacteria
Description: bacterial SSU rRNA
Rfam family: Bacterial small subunit ribosomal RNA
Source: RNAcentral
GAGUUUGAUCUUGGGCUCAGAUUGAACGCUGGCGGCAGGCCUAACACAUGCAAGUCGAGCGGAUGACGGGAGCUUGCUCCUUGAUUCAGCGGCGGACGGGUGAGUAAUGCCUAGGAAUCUGCCUGGUAGUGGGGGACAACGUUUCGAAAGGAACGCUAAUACCGCAUACGUCCUACGGGAGAAAGCAGGGGACCUUCGGGCCUUGCGCUAUCAGAUGAGCCUAGGUCGGAUUAGCUAGUUGGUGGGGUAAUGGCUCACCAAGGCGACGAUCCGUAACUGGUCUGAGAGGAUGAUCAGUCACACUGGAACUGAGACACGGUCCAGACUCCUACGGGAGGCAGCAGUGGGGAAUAUUGGACAAUGGGCGAAAGCCUGAUCCAGCCAUGCCGCGUGUGUGAAGAAGGUCUUCGGAUUGUAAAGCACUUUAAGUUGGGAGGAAGGGCAGUAAGUUAAUACCUUGCUGUUUUGACGUUACCGACAGAAUAAGCACCGGCUAACUCUGUGCCAGCAG